CAUGGUUGUCGUCAGCUCGUGUCGUGAGAUGUGGUUAGUCCGCAACGAGCGCAACCCCUAUGUUAGUUGCCAUCAUUCAGUUGGGCACUCUAGCGAGACUGCCGGUAAUAAACCGGAGGAAGGUGGGGAUGACGUCAAAUCAUCAUGCCCCUUAUGACCUGGGCUACACACGUGCUACAAUGGUUGGUACAACGAGUUGCGAGUCGGUGACGGCGAGCUAAUCUCUUAAAGCCAAUCUCAGUUCGGAUUGUAGGCUGCAACUCGCCUACAUGAAGUCGGAAUCGCUAGUAAUCGCGGAUCAGCACGCUGCGGUGAAUACGUUCCCGGGCCUU
Molecule: ribosomal RNA, 332 nt
Filed under: uncultured Streptococcus sp.
Lineage: Bacteria; Bacillati; Bacillota; Bacilli; Lactobacillales; Streptococcaceae
Description: bacterial SSU rRNA
Rfam family: Bacterial small subunit ribosomal RNA
Source: RNAcentral